RNAcentral lists this ribosomal RNA (1393 nucleotides) under Platythecium grammitis. RNAcentral describes it as "eukaryotic LSU rRNA". It matches the Rfam family "Eukaryotic large subunit ribosomal RNA", at positions 65 to 1393 of the family's 3401-position model. The record is from RNAcentral. Lineage: Eukaryota; Fungi; Ascomycota; Lecanoromycetes; Ostropales; Graphidaceae.
CCAACCGGGAUUGCCCCAGUAACGGCGAGUGAAGCGGCAACAGCUCAAAUUUAAAAUCUGGCCCCCGGGUCCGAAUUGUAAUUUGUAGAAGGUGCUUUGGGAGCGACGACGGUCCAAGUUCCUUGGAAUAGGGCGUCAUAGAGGGUGAGAGUCCCGUAUGCGACCAACUGUCAAUCCCGAACGAAGCCCUUUCGACGAGUCGAGUUGUUUGGGAAUGCAGCUCUAAAUGGGUGGUAAAUUUCAUCUAAAGCUAAAUAUCUGCCGGAGACCGAUAGCGCACAAGUAGAGUGAUCGAAAGAUGAAAAGCACUUUGAAAAGAGAGUCAAACAGUACGUGAAAUUGUUGAAAGGGAAGCGCUUGCAACCAGACUCGCUCCGCAGGGGCUCAACCGACCCUUCGGGGGAAGGUGCACUCUCCUGCGGUCGGGCCAGCAUCGGUUCGGGCGGUCGGACAAAGGCCCAGGGAACGUAGCUCUCUUCGGGGAGUGUUAUAGCCCGGGGUGUAACGCGACCUGCCGGGACCGAGGACCGCGCUCUGCUAGGAUGCUGGCGUAAUGGUUGCCAGCGACCCGUCUUGAAACACGGACCAAGGAGUCGACCAACCGCGCGAGUGUUUGGGCGUGAAACCCAUGCGCGCAAUGAAAGUGAACGUAGGUGGGAGCCUCCGGGCGCACCAUCGACCGAUCUUGAUGUCUUCGGAUGGAUUUGAGUACGAGCACGGUCGGUCGGACCCGAAAGAUGGUGAACUAUGCGUGAAUAGGGUGAAGCCAGAGGAAACUCUGGUGGAGGCUCGCAGCGGUUCUGACGUGCAAAUCGAUCGUCAAAUUUGCGCAUAGGGGCGAAAGGUACGGCACCACCCAUCCUGUUUUUCUUUUUGUGUUUUUGGAGAUCGUCCCCCGGGGUUGAAAUGCAUGCUAACGCAUCUUAACAGACUAAUCGAACCGUCUAGUAGCUGGUUCCUGUCGAAGUUUCCCUCAGGAUAGCAGCAACGAAAAACAGUCUCAUGAGGUAGAGCGAACGAUUAGAGGCCUUGGGGUUGAAACAACCUUAACCUAUUCUCGAACUUCGAAUAUGUGAGAAGUCCUUGUUACUUAGUUGAACGUGGACAUUUGGAUGUAUCGUUGCUAGUGGGCCAUUUUUGGUAAGCAGAACUGGCGAUGCGGGAUGAACCGAACGCGAGGUUACGGUGCCAGAGUGCACGCUCAUCAGACACCACAAAAGGUGUUAGUUCAUCCAGACAGUCGGACGGUGGCCAUGGAAGUCGGAAUCCGCUAAGGAGUGUGUAACAACUCACCGACCGAAUGAACUAGCCCUGAAAAUGGAUGGCGCUCAAGCGUGCCACCUAUACCUCGCCGCUGGGGUAGAAACGAUGCUCCAGCGAGUAGGCAGGCGUA